This 484-nucleotide ribosomal RNA is filed under the name uncultured bacterium. RNAcentral's name for it is "partial 16S ribosomal RNA". It matches the Rfam family "Bacterial small subunit ribosomal RNA", at positions 28 to 523 of the family's 1533-position model. The record is from RNAcentral.
GACGAACGCUGGCGGCGUGCUUAACACAUGCAAGUCGAACGAUGAAGCCGGAGCUUGCUCUGGUGAAUUAGUGGCGAACGGGUGAGUAACACGUGAGUAACCUGCCCUUGACUCUGGGAUAACUGCGGGAAACUGUAGCUAAUACCGGAUACGACCCUCGGAGGCAUCUCCUGGGGGUGGAAAGAAUUUCGGUCAAGGAUGGACUCGCGGCCUAUCAGCUAGUUGGUGAGGUAAAGGCUCACCAAGGCGACGACGGGUAGCCGGCCUGAGAGGGUGACCGGCCACACUGGGACUGAGAUACGGCCCAGACUCCUACGGGAGGCAGCAGUGGGGAAUAUUGCACAAUGGGCGCAAGGCUGAUGCAGCGACGCCGCGUGAGGGAUGACGGCCUUCGGGUUGUAAACCUCUUUCAGCACCGACGAAGCGCAAGUGACGGUAGGUGCAGAAGAAGGACCGGCCAACUACGUGCCAGCCGCCGCUGUAA